RNAcentral lists this ribosomal RNA (373 nucleotides) under uncultured bacterium. RNAcentral describes it as "bacterial SSU rRNA". It matches the Rfam family "Bacterial small subunit ribosomal RNA", at positions 527 to 896 of the family's 1533-position model. The record is from RNAcentral.
GGGGGGAGCAAGCGUUGUUCGGAUUUACUGGGCGUAAAGGGCGCGUAGGCGGCCACCGCAAGUCGGUUGUGAAAUCUCCGGGCUUAACCCGGAAAGGUCAACCGAUACUGCGGGGCUAGAGUGCAGAAGGGGCAACCGGAAUUCUCGGUGUAGCGGUGAAAUGCGUAGAUAUCGAGAGGAACACCUGCGGCGAAGGCGGGUUGCCGGGCUGACACUGACGCUGAGGCGCGAAAGCUAGGGGAGCGAACGGGAUUAGAUACCCCGGUAGUCCUAGCCUUAAACGAUGAAUGCUUGGUGUCUGGGGUUACAUAGUCCCCGGGUGCCGUCGCUAACGCUUUAAGCAUUCCGCCUGGGGAGUACGGUCGCAAGACUG